This 301-nucleotide ribosomal RNA is filed under the name uncultured bacterium. RNAcentral describes it as "partial 16S ribosomal RNA". It matches the Rfam family "Bacterial small subunit ribosomal RNA", at positions 509 to 807 of the family's 1533-position model. The record is from RNAcentral.
CAGUAGCCGCGGUAAUACGUAGGGUGCGAGCGUUAAUCGGAAUUACUGGGCGUAAAGGGUGCGUAGGCGGUUCAGCAAGUCUCGUGUGAAAUCUUCGGGCUCAACCCGAAGUCUGCACGGGAAACUACUGGGCUUGAGUAAUGGAGAGGUGAGUGGAAUUUCCGGUGUAGCGGUGAAAUGCGUAGAUAUCGGAAGGAACACCUGUGGCGAAAGCGGCUCACUGGACAUUUACUGACGCUGAUGCACGAAAGCUAGGGGAGCAAACAGGAUUAGAUACCCGAGUAGUCCCUGUCUCUUAUAC